AAUUCUCUGAGAUGUUUGCCAGUGGGCGAGUCCCCUGAGCCGAUAUUUUGUACCAAUAAGGAUGUGAUGUUCUGUGAUUGGUGAGCAUGCUCGGUUCGCCGAGAAGCCUUAAAGUUGCAGCAUCGCGUUCACCUUGAACCAAGGGUUCAAGGGUUACAGCCCACAGCGGCAUCUUGGAGAUCCU
RNAcentral lists this non-coding RNA (184 nucleotides) under Candidatus Fukatsuia symbiotica. Its description in RNAcentral is "6S / SsrS RNA". It matches the Rfam family "6S / SsrS RNA". From Rfam's summary of the family: E. coli 6S RNA was the first non coding RNA to be sequenced, but its function was unknown until recently. The record is from Rfam by way of RNAcentral. Lineage: Bacteria; Pseudomonadati; Pseudomonadota; Gammaproteobacteria; Enterobacterales; Yersiniaceae.